CCUACGGGUGGCUGCAGUGGGGAAUUUUGGACAAUGGGGGCAACCCUGAUCCAGCCAUGCCGCGUGAGUGAAGAAGGCCUUCGGGUUGUAAAGCUCUUUCGGACGGAACGAAAUCGCACGGGUGAACAUCCUGUGUGGAUGACGGUACUGUAAGAAGAAGCACCGGCUAACUACGUGCCAGCAGCCGCGGUAAUACGUAGGGUGCGAGCGUUAAUCGGAAUUACUGGGCGUAAAGCGUGCGCAGGCGGUUUUGCAAGCCGGAUGUGAAAGCCCCG
Molecule: ribosomal RNA, 275 nt
Filed under: uncultured bacterium
Lineage: Bacteria
Description: partial 16S ribosomal RNA
Rfam family: Bacterial small subunit ribosomal RNA
Source: RNAcentral